This 1357-nucleotide unclassified non-coding RNA is filed under the name Bactrocera tryoni. Its description in RNAcentral is "suppressor protein SRP40-like, transcript variant X4". The record is from RNAcentral. Lineage: Eukaryota; Metazoa; Arthropoda; Insecta; Diptera; Tephritidae.
UCAACAUGCAUUUGUCGGGAAGAUUUCAAAUAACUUCUGAGCAAUUCAAUUAAUUCAGUGUUCACGUGCUCGCUAUAUACAGAGAGCUUUAAAUUAUUACAUAUUGUUUGUUUGAGAUAUAAUAACAAGACCACAGGUCGUGAUAGAAAUCUCGGCUGCAACUUAUCGGAGCUUAUGCGAUACGCUAACAGGGUCUUAUGAAAGAUUUAAACCAAUUUCAGUCAACUUUAGACCAGUUAUAUACGAACAACACUGCUUCGAGUCAGGCCUUGGAGCGAUACAUCACGCGUGGACUCAACGGAAGGACCAUCUGAGACGUAGCCACGGCCAACAUUUGAAAGAGAUAAUUUUCAAAGUAUAAAUGCCAAAGAAUGUUCUUAUGAUGACAAUGAAUGACAAUAAGCAUUCGCCAUUAAAUUUGAAGUUUAUGCGCUUCUUCUUGAAAAAAGUAUUAAACAUCGAAAUCGAUCACCCUUUAGUUGUGUGCAACAAAAUCGUGGUUUAAAAUCUCUCCACUGUGUUAUUUAUCUAAAACAUAAGUGGUUAAAGAAAAGGUUUGGAACUCUCCUUUUAUUUCAUUACCUUUUUGGAUAGGUAGUGUAAAUCAAUAAAACAUUCAGCUGUAUGUAUGACAUAGUAUAUACACAUCAAGUCUUCACACGAUCGACCAUUGGUGAAUAUCAACAAUAAUGGCCACAAACUGUAGUCCAAUAGAUUCAAAACUGAACUUGCUGGCAACAACAGUCAACUGAGGCUAUAAAACCAGAGAUUUUGCUUUAAAGCCAUUGCUGGGUGGUUUUUUACUUUCAAUGCCUUCCAACGAACAGAGUGUUACUAACUGCUUUAAAACGCCUUCUAAACACUUUGCUGUUACAUGUUUUCCCCUUUUCCAGUUGUAGUUGUAGACUAGAUAACAAAAUAUCUGGCAAGACUAAGUUUCGGGACGAUGGACAUAGGAACCGAUUUUAGCCAUGAAAACUUAAUUUCCUUGAACUACCGCACAAAUUAAUCGUCAUUUUUAGUACAAAGGUAGGUACCGGCACGGAGGUAUUCAUAUCUGAUACUUGGGCCUAGAAAAGUUUUUGAUCGAGUUAAGCGUUGAGUUAAGGUUUCAACACUUUUUUAUUAUCUCUGAAGCAUUUUCCACACCACUCAUGUUUUCAAAAUCUUGCCUUUUCAUAACUUCAAAAUGACUGCAUCGGUCAUUUUGAAAUUUUGUACAAUAUUUCUGUAAUCAAGAGGUUAGGCCGGCGAGUUGUUUUCCCAUUUGUUAAAAACAUUUUCAUUUUACAGUACUUUUACUACAUAUUUCUCUUCUUUUAGCGUGUCCAAAAAUAGUGUAAAUAAAAAAAAUUAU